GUCAUUUCUAGGGGGGAUGGGAAGAGAGAAAAGGAGGUGGAAGUGGCCAAAAGCCACUGAGCACAACCCCUUUCUGCCCCUUGUCCCUGUUGGCAGGAUUUCCAGAGCUCCUUUGAAUGCCGUCUUUGCUAGCAGUCCUCCGAGAAAAUGGCUAGUCUGAACAGGUUUUAUUUAUGAACUUAGGACCUAAAUUGCUGCACGCAAGUAAUCCAGAAAGGUGAACCCAAUAGGAGCUUGCCCUCCAAAGGAAUGACCACAAGAGACCAGUGAAACUAACAAGAAUGGUUUUCAUGCCAACAUAAUGGAGAAUGGAUAAGGAUGCAUGAAAGAAAAUACAAGAAAUUAGUUGUGGAAGGAAUCCAGCCUUUGGUCCUGUCUUAAAAGAUCUGACUAGUAAGUGGAAGUGAAAAUGUUAGGGAAGCUGUUAAGUCGUAAGGGCAAGCAAUGGGAAAAUGACCGAAAAAGUUGGGGAAGCAGCGAUCAUGUCGUAUAUUUUUUGAGGCCCCAUCCUCCUAUGAAACAUCUAACAAAUUUCUGGC
Molecule: long non-coding RNA, 539 nt
Filed under: Monodelphis domestica (gray short-tailed opossum)
Lineage: Eukaryota; Metazoa; Chordata; Mammalia; Didelphimorphia; Didelphidae
Description: lncRNA (ENSMODG00000044875.1)
Source: RNAcentral